GAUGAACGCUGGCGGCGUGCCUAAUACAUGCAAGUCGAGCGAACGGACGAGAAGCUUGCUUCUCUGAUGUUAGCGGCGGACGGGUGAGUAACACGUGGAUAACCUACCUAUAAGACUGGGAUAACUUCGGGAAACCGUAGCUAAUACCGGAUAAUAUUUUGAACCGCAUGGUUCAAAAGUGAAAGACGGUCUUGCUGUCACUUAUAGAUGGAUCCGCGCUGCAUUAGCUAGUUGGUAAGGUAACGGCUUACCAAGGCAACGAUGCAUAGCCGACCUGCGAGGGUGAUCGGCCACACUGGAACUGAGACACGGUCCAGACUCCUACGGGAGGCAGCAGUAGGGAAUCUUCUGCAAUGGGCGAAAGCCUGACGGAGCAACGCCGCGUGAGUGAUGAAGGUCUUCGGAUCGUAAAACUCUGUUAUUAGGGAAGAACAUAUGUGUAAGUAACUGUGCACAUCUUGACGGUACCUAAUCAGAAAGCCACGGCUAACUACGUG
This 497-nucleotide ribosomal RNA is filed under the name uncultured bacterium. Its description in RNAcentral is "partial 16S ribosomal RNA". It matches the Rfam family "Bacterial small subunit ribosomal RNA", at positions 28 to 507 of the family's 1533-position model. The record is from RNAcentral.